This 304-nucleotide ribosomal RNA is filed under the name uncultured bacterium. RNAcentral's name for it is "partial 16S ribosomal RNA". It matches the Rfam family "Bacterial small subunit ribosomal RNA", at positions 506 to 807 of the family's 1533-position model. The record is from RNAcentral.
CAGCAGCCGCCGCGGGAAUACGAAGGGGGCUAGCGUUGUUCGGAAUUACUGGGCGUAAAGCGCACGUAGGCGGAUAUUUAAGUCAGGGGUGAAAUCCCGCAGCUCAACUGCGGAACUGCCUUUGAUACUGGGUAUCUUGAGUAUGGAAGAGGUUAGUGGAAUUGCGAGUGUAGAGGUGAAAUUCGUAGAUAUUCGCAGGAACACCAGUGGCGAAGGCGGCUAACUGGUCCAUAACUGACGCUGAGGUGCGAAAGCGUGGGGAGCAAACAGGAUUAGAUACCCCCGUAGUCCCUGUCUCUUAUAC